Molecule: long non-coding RNA, 237 nt
Filed under: Vombatus ursinus (common wombat)
Lineage: Eukaryota; Metazoa; Chordata; Mammalia; Diprotodontia; Vombatidae
Description: lncRNA (ENSVURG00010008094.1)
Source: RNAcentral
AGUAUUUAGAAGUUAAUAGUAACUGAACUUAGGUUCCAGUCAAUCACUAACCAUGAGGACUCUCCACUUGGUGUUUUUGGUGCUUUUUGUAAUGUUCUCCUACACUGGUAUUAAGUAUACAUUUGGUGGUUUCAGAGGGGUUGAUGAUGUGGAAACUACCCUGUGUCGGAAGCAGAAUGGUUUAUGUCUUAAAACUUGCCCAGAAACUCUCCAGAAAAAAGGCACCUGUUUAGCUGG